Molecule: long non-coding RNA, 260 nt
Filed under: Lathyrus oleraceus (garden pea)
Lineage: Eukaryota; Viridiplantae; Streptophyta; Magnoliopsida; Fabales; Fabaceae
Description: Pisum sativum (pea) long non-coding RNA (PSAT_LNC033750)
Source: RNAcentral
CCACCAAGCACUUUUUUUGAAAUAGCUUUGAAGAAAUCGAUUAAAACAUCAAAUCAAUCAAUUGCCUGUUCUAACUUAUGCCUAAUACAAAUAGAUCGUCUAAUAUGUGAAAUUGAUUGUAAGGGAUGUGAAAUUGAUUACCAUAGUGAAAAUUUUGAUAUUUUUGAACAUUAUAAUUAAGACAAUUAAUUGUGAGGAUUGUGCAAUCAAUUGCCAUUGUUAAAACUUUGAAAAAUUCUAAUUUAUCUAAACAUCUUUUC